RNAcentral lists this transfer RNA (74 nucleotides) under Staphylococcus aureus. Its description in RNAcentral is "tRNA-Ile". It matches the Rfam family "tRNA". Rfam says of the family: Transfer RNA (tRNA) molecules are approximately 80 nucleotides in length. Their secondary structure includes four short double-helical elements and three loops (D, anti-codon, and T loops). RNAcentral also lists the same sequence under 2 other names. The record is from RNAcentral. Lineage: Bacteria; Bacillati; Bacillota; Bacilli; Caryophanales; Staphylococcaceae.
GGACCUUUAGCUCAGUUGGUUAGAGCUGACGGCUCAUAACCGUUCGGUCGCAGGUUCGAGUCCUGCAAGGUCCA